CCAAUAGCGUAUAUUAAAGUUGUGUGCAGUUAAAAAGCUCGUAGUUGAACUUCAGACCUGGCUGGGUGGUCCGCUUAACGGCGUGUACUGCUUGGCUGGGCCUUACUUCUUGGUGAGCCGGGCGUGCCCUUUAUUGGUGUGCGUCGGGGAACCAGGACUUUUACCUUGAGAAAAUUAGAGUGUUCAAAGCAGGCCUAUGCCUGAAUACAUUAGCAUGGAAUAAUAGAAUAGGACGUGCGGUUCUAUUUUGUUGGUUUCUAGAGUCGCAGUAAUGAUUAAUAGGGACAGAUGGGGGCAUUCGUAUUGCGACGUUAGAGGUGAAAUUCUUGGAUCGUCGCAAGACGGACAGAAGCGAAAGCAUUUGCCAAAAAUGUUUUCAUUAAUCAAGAACGAAAGUUAGAGGUUCGAAGGCGAUCAGAUACCGCCCUAGUUCUAACCAUAAACGAUGCCAGCUAGCGAUCCGCCGAAGUUCCUCCGAUGACUCGGCGGGCAGCUUCCGGGAAACCAAAGCUUUUGGGUUCCGGGGGAAGUAUGGUUGCAAAGCUGAAACUUAAAGGAAUUGACGGAAGGGCACCACCAGGAGUGGAGCCUGCGGCUUAAUUUGACUCAACACGGGAAACCUCACCAGGCCCAGACACCGGAAGGAUUGACAGAUUGAUAGCUCUUUCUUGAUUCGGUGGGUGGUGGUGCAUGGCCGUUCUUAGUUGGUGGAGCGAUUUGUCUGGUUAAUUCCGAUAACGAACGAGACUCUAGCCUGCUAAAUAGGCGUACCUUAUGGUAUCGCGAAGGCCCCCGGCUUCGGCCGGUGGGUUUUUACUACCAACG
This 825-nucleotide ribosomal RNA is filed under the name uncultured eukaryote. Its description in RNAcentral is "bacterial SSU rRNA". It matches the Rfam family "Eukaryotic small subunit ribosomal RNA", at positions 591 to 1395 of the family's 1831-position model. The record is from RNAcentral.